RNAcentral lists this ribosomal RNA (391 nucleotides) under Chrysophyceae sp. RNAcentral's name for it is "partial small subunit ribosomal RNA". It matches the Rfam family "Eukaryotic small subunit ribosomal RNA", at positions 582 to 975 of the family's 1831-position model. Lineage: Eukaryota; Chrysophyceae. The record is from RNAcentral.
AUUCCAGCUCCAAUAGCGUAUACUAAAGUUGUUGCAGUUAAAAAGCUCGUAGUUGAAUUUCUGGUCGUGGCGAUCGGUCCGCCCCUCACGGGGUGUGCACCUGGUCUCUACGUCCAUCCUCGGGGAGAGCGCGUCUGGCAUUCAGUUGUCGGGUGCGGGAUCCUCGUCAUUUACUGUGAGCAAAAUAGAGUGUUCAAAGCAGGCUUAGGCCGUUGAAUACAUUAGCAUGGAAUAAUAAGAUAGGACCUUGGUCUAUUUUGUUGGUUUGCAUUCCAAGGUAAUGAUUAAUAGGGAUAGUUGGGGGUAUUCGUAUUCAAUUGUCAGAGGUGAAAUUCUUGGAUUUAUGGAAGACGAACUACUGCGAAAGCAUUUACCAAGGAUGUUUUCAUCG